Molecule: long non-coding RNA, 641 nt
Organism: Salvia splendens (bonfire salvia)
Lineage: Eukaryota; Viridiplantae; Streptophyta; Magnoliopsida; Lamiales; Lamiaceae
Exons: 3
Source: RefSeq, a predicted model, not a curated record
UCUAUGUCAUUUUUGUGAAUCUUAAUCAACAGAAUAAACCCUUUCACAAAUGAAAUCUUUAAUGUUCUGAUAGCUUACUACCUUAUGCAGAUUCUUGAUUUCCUCAUUGGGAAGCUUGCACAGAACACAAACUACAACAACUAAUGGAAACUGGAGAGGAAAUUCAUAACCAUAGCAAGUACAGCCAUGGACUAGAUGAGCGAUGUGCAGAAGACAGGGCCAUCGAUGAUUGGCUUCCGAUAAAUCAUUCAAGAAGGGGAAGAUGGUGGUUUUCAACAGUUCACAAUGUCACUGCCAUUGUUGGAGCUGGAGUCCUCCGCCUCCCUUACAACAUGACAUGAUAGAAGCUGUGCUAGUGAAGAAACUCAAGUUCGAGCCUAAUAAACGUUUGCGGAUUAUUUCAAGGACUUCGUACGUUGCUUUUACAAUGUUUGUGGGAAUUACUCUGCCUUUGUUUGAUGGGCUGCUUGGGUUUCUUGGAGGCUUUGGAUUUGCACCAAACACAUACUCCCUUUGUAAGAAAUUAUUUAUGUACUUUUUAUAUCAAUAUAAAUUUUGUUUUAUUUGUAUAUAAAUUUUGUAUUUUAAUAAAAUUAGAAUUUUCGGUUACUUGCAUAUAAAAUAUUUUAAGAAACAUAAAU